Molecule: transfer RNA, 72 nt
Filed under: Alphaproteobacteria bacterium CG11_big_fil_rev_8_21_14_0_20_44_7
Lineage: Bacteria; Pseudomonadati; Pseudomonadota; Alphaproteobacteria
Description: tRNA-Met
Rfam family: tRNA
About the family: Transfer RNA (tRNA) molecules are approximately 80 nucleotides in length. Their secondary structure includes four short double-helical elements and three loops (D, anti-codon, and T loops).
Source: RNAcentral
CGUAGCUCAGUUGGUUAGAGCGGUGGAAUCAUAAUCCAUGUGUCGUAAGUUCGAGUCUUACCGGAGCCACCA